CCUACGGGGGGCUGCAGUGGGGAAUAUUGGACAAUGGGCGAAAGCCUGAUCCAGCCAUGCUGCGUGUGUGAAGAAGGCCUUCGGGUUGUAAAGCACUUUCAGUGGGGAAGAAAGCCUUGGGGCUAAUACCCUCGAGGAAGGACAUCACCCACAGAAGAAGCACCGGCUAACUCCGUGCCAGCAGCCGCGGUAAUACGGAGGGUGCGAGCGUUAAUCGGAAUUACUGGGCGUAAAGCGCGCGUAGGCGGUCUGAUAAGCCGGUUGUGAAAGCCCCGGGCUCAACCUGGGAACGGCAUCCGGAACUGUCAGGCUAGAGUGCAGGAGAGGAAGGUAGAAUUCCCGGUGUAGCGGUGAAAUGCGUAGAGAUCGGGAGGAAUACCAGUGGCGAAGGCGGCCUUCUGGACUGACACUGACGCUGAGGUGCGAAAGCGUGGGUAGCAAACAGGAUUAGAUACCCCGGUAGUC
RNAcentral lists this ribosomal RNA (465 nucleotides) under Vreelandella stevensii. RNAcentral's name for it is "partial 16S ribosomal RNA". It matches the Rfam family "Bacterial small subunit ribosomal RNA", at positions 338 to 795 of the family's 1533-position model. Lineage: Bacteria; Pseudomonadati; Pseudomonadota; Gammaproteobacteria; Oceanospirillales; Halomonadaceae. The record is from RNAcentral.